RNAcentral lists this ribosomal RNA (448 nucleotides) under uncultured bacterium. Its description in RNAcentral is "bacterial SSU rRNA". It matches the Rfam family "Bacterial small subunit ribosomal RNA", at positions 335 to 801 of the family's 1533-position model. The record is from RNAcentral.
ACUCCUACGGGAGGCAGCAGUGGGGAAUAUUGGACAAUGGGCGAAAGCCUGAUCCAGCAAUGCCGCGUGAGUGAUGAAGGCCCUAGGGUUGUAAAGCUCUUUUACCCGGGAAGAUAAUGACUGUACCGGGAGAAUAAGCCCGGCUAACUCCGUGCCAGCAGCCGCGGUAAUACGGAGGGGGCUAGCGUUGUUCGGAAUUACUGGGGCGUAAAGCGCACGUAGGCGGCUUUGUAAGUCAGAGGUGAAAGCCUGGAGCUCAACUCCAGAACUGCCUUUGAGACUGCAUCGCUUGAAUCCAGGAGAGGUCAGUGGAAUUCCGAGUGUAGAGGUGAAAUUCGUAGAUAUAUGGAAGAACACCAGUGGCGAAGGCGGCUACCUGGUCUGCAGCUGACGCUGAGACUCGAAAGCAUGGGUAGCGAACAGGAUUAGAUACCCUGGUAGGAUAGCG